This 460-nucleotide ribosomal RNA is filed under the name uncultured bacterium. RNAcentral describes it as "partial 16S ribosomal RNA". It matches the Rfam family "Bacterial small subunit ribosomal RNA", at positions 338 to 795 of the family's 1533-position model. The record is from RNAcentral.
CCUACGGGGUGCAGCAGUGAGGAAUAUUGGUCAAUGGGCGAGAGCCUGAACCAGCCAAGUCGCGUGAGGGAAGACGGUCCUAUGGAUUGUAAACCUCUUUUGCCGGGGAGCAAAAAGCGGUACGUGUACCGCAUCGAGAGUACCCGGAGAAAAAGCAUCGGCUAACUCCGUGCCAGCAGCCGCGGUAAUACGGAGGAUGCGAGCGUUAUCCGGAAUGACUGGGCGUAAAGGGUGCGUAGGUGGUUUGACAAGUUGGUAGCGUAACUCCGAGGCUCAACCUCGGCACUACUACCAAAACUGUCGGACUUGAGUGCAGGAGGGGCAAUUGGAAUGCCUAGUGUAGCGGUGGAAUGCGCAGAUAUUAGGAGGAACACCGGUGGCGAAGGCGAAUUGCUGGACUGUAACUGACACUGAGGCACGAAAGCGUGGGGAGCAAACAGGAUUAGAUACCCCAGUAGUC